GAUGAACGCUGGCGGCGUGCCUACUACAUGCAAGUCGAGCGAACGGACGAGAAGCUUGCUUCUCUGAUAUUAGCGGCGGACGGGUGAGUAACACGUGGAUAACCUACCUAUAAGACUGGGAUAACUUCGGGAAACCGGAGCUAAUACCGUAUGAUAUUUUGAACCGCAUGGUUCAUAAGUGAAAGACGGUCUUGCUGUCACUUAUUGAUGGAUCCGCGCUGCAUUAGCUAGUUGGUAAGGUAACGUUUUACCAAGGCAACGAUGCUUAGCCGACCUGAGAGGGUGAUCGGCCACACUGUAGCUGAGACACGCUCCAGACUCCUAGGGGAGGCAGCAGUAGGGAAUCUUCCGCAAUGGGCGAAAGCCUGACGGAGCAACGCCGCGUGGGUGAUGAAGGUCUUCGGAUCGUAAAACUCUGUUAUUAGGGAAGAACAUAUGUGUAAGUAACUGUGCACAUCGUGACGGUACCUAAUCAGAAAGCCACGGCUAACUACGUG
RNAcentral lists this ribosomal RNA (497 nucleotides) under uncultured bacterium. RNAcentral describes it as "partial 16S ribosomal RNA". It matches the Rfam family "Bacterial small subunit ribosomal RNA", at positions 28 to 507 of the family's 1533-position model. The record is from RNAcentral.